This is a small nucleolar RNA of Lathyrus oleraceus (garden pea), 114 nucleotides long. The record is from RefSeq and is a predicted model, not a curated record. NCBI's taxonomy places the organism in Eukaryota, Viridiplantae, Streptophyta, Magnoliopsida, Fabales, Fabaceae.
ACCAUUUCCGAAGGAUAAAUUGUUCCUUUCAGUGUAAUGGCGAUCGAUUUUGUGGUGAUCCUGAUUUAUGGUUUUCUUCAAUGCCAUUGGGUCUUGGAAACGCCUCAUACAUUU